Molecule: long non-coding RNA, 1732 nt
Organism: Gasterosteus aculeatus aculeatus (three-spined stickleback)
Lineage: Eukaryota; Metazoa; Chordata; Actinopteri; Perciformes; Gasterosteidae
Source: RefSeq, a predicted model, not a curated record
AUCUUAAAAAAUACCCUGAGCUCUCGUUUUUGUCUGUUCUGAAUCUUGUGUGUGCAUUUAUUUAUUUUUCAUAACCACUUCUAUGUGAGUCAAAUAAUAUGUAGGAUUCCCUAACAGGAAAACGUUGUAUAUGUCAAUGUGCACUUUGCUAAAACAAAGGUGUGUGUAGAUAAUUGGGCUAAAGCUAGCUGCUAACAGCUAAAGCUCGUUGUGCACACGGUCAAGCGCACCGAACACACCGCUGCUGUCUCCCACUGGAACACGUCGCCCACCAGCGUUCACCAAGACUACUUUCAGUCCCCGUUGUGCAGCACGGCCCCCUCAAGUUCACCUGAUGGGCGCUGUUGCUCGGUGGAAUACCAACAGGAUCUCAGACGCAGUGUUUGGCCUCAGAGGACGGAACCACAGGACGGCCUCAACUCCUGCUGCCGGUGUUACGUCCCUACUGGUUUUUGAACCUACUGGUUUGCCUACACGGGAGUGUUUGUGUUCACCGAACAGCGGCAGAUGUUGUCUGCUUGUGUCACCUGAUUCGUCACACAUUCGCAAACAGAUUGCUGAGAAUGUUCAGAACGAAUCACAUAUCCAUUGCAAUGAUUACGAUUGUAUAAGUGAGCACUACGCCUCUGCUACGUGUGAAGAAAUGAAUUUAAGAAAAUAUAUUUAAUGAAAGAUCGACACAACCUGGAUUCGAACCCUGUCGAGCAAAAUAAUAAUACGUUUCAAGACGGCUGCGCUACGCCGUCGACCACUCGAGCUUGAACAAUUCCUCAUUGUUUUCCUUAUUUGUGAUCCUAUUGUUCAUUGUCAGUAUCUCGGAAACGUUUUGGUUCAGGGUGAACUAAGACAUCUGGUGUAUAGUGGGCGUAUCGUGUAGGGUUGUCAAAAAUGACGUUUGAAUAUUCCCUUUAAAAAAACACAUAGCCUAAUGCGCAACCAGAAAUUCAAAUCUAUGUCAAUAACAAGACAAAUUAAUACAAUGAGACCUUCUUGCACCUGCAAUAAAUAAGUAAAUAUAAUAUGCGUUGAUAUUAGAUUGAUAGGUUUGCAUUUAUCCAUCGUAUUAAUAUCAUUCACACACAGUAAAUUAGGGCCAUCAUUCUACCUAUUUAAACAAUGUUUAGGACAGUUUUGCAUUUGUCCACCCUAUUACGGUACAUAUUUCGUACACUAGGCUCACCUUUUCCAUUAGGGACCAUUCGCUUGGGGUCAGCUCCAUUCUUGACAGUUUUUUCUCGAAGACGACAGCAGACACAGCUGCUUGCUGCUCCGAUGCACGGCAGAUCAUUUCAUAUGUGCUGUUCCGUCACGUUGGACAGCCGUUGAUCAGCUUCUCUAUUUUCAAUCCUAAUAGUUGUUGUUUCUGCUCAAGGAGGUAUCUGUUGACGGAAGAUUUGCUGUAAUGUGAGGCCGCCACUUUCAGCCUACUAACGGGGAUUUCAAUGGCUCUGACCCCGAGCCCUUUACGCACAUCACAACUUGUGGCGCACACAAUAAACUUGUGUGCGCCACACAUGGUAUAUUUACUGUUUGAAGAUGUCUCUCCACUGCAUAAUUAGUGGCAUUGUCCUUUGUGAUGGCAAUCACAGAUCCACUUUGUAUGUCAAAAACGUCCAAGAUCUCUUGAAUCCAUUUGCCUACAUUCUCUGCAGUGUGUUUUACCUGAAGCUCUUUUGUUCCUAGCACAUUGUUAUGCAUUUUCCAAUCCGCAUUAAUCCAAUGGGCUGUUACA